Long non-coding RNA from Corvus hawaiiensis (hawaiian crow), 1170 nucleotides. RefSeq lists it as uncharacterized. The record is from RefSeq and is a predicted model, not a curated record. The transcript has 2 exons. NCBI's taxonomy places the organism in Eukaryota, Metazoa, Chordata, Aves, Passeriformes, Corvidae.
GAGUAGGGGGGGGUGCCGGUAACGGGGGUAUUACCGAGGGCGGGCCGGUGAUGAUCCACAUUUACCUUUCUGACACCUCGUCUGAGGGCGGCGGGCGGCCGCAGCCCCUGCUGAGCAGCCACGGCUGAGGUCCGCUGUACCCGUGGCCCUGCUGGGCCGGCGGUCGGACUCCUCCCCCUCACGCGCUGCCUUCUCCCCUCAGGGCUCGGCGGGAAUCGGCCGCGACGUGGGACCCGGCGGUGGUGGCGUCCCGGAGCCUCCGUGCCCGUUUCGAGGCACUCCCCGGCGUGCUGGGCCGGUAAAGCGCGGUGUCGGCUGUUCUGGUGUUUGUGUUUCCAUGGGUGACAUGUAACACCACAGACUGACUGGAAAUUUUGUAUGGGUACCCAGUGAAACUGGAGUGCAUCGAAAGGUGCUGCGCUUUGCUCAGCCCCGCUCCCUUCACUGGAAUCUGGGACUCAAUUAGGUUGGAAAAGGCCUUUAAGACCCAAGUCCAGCAGUUGUGUCACAUCCACAUGGCUGUUCCAUCUCUUCGGAGAUGAGGACUCCAGCACUGCCCUGGGCAGCUGUGCCAGGGCUGGACAACCCUUUUUGGGGAGAAAUUCUCCUAAUAUCCCCUUUUAACUGGGUCAUACCCUGGUUCUGCCAUGUGGAUCCAGAUGGGUUCAAGGCUUAACUGAACUAUUUGACAGUGCUGUGUGUUUAGACAGUCGAAACACCACUGUAGCCAUGGAGAUUAUUAAAAAAUUUUAUUAACAGGAAUGAACCAAAAGCUGUAAACAAGAGCCAGCAGAAAUGGGAUGUUGCAGGUGAGGCCGAGUCCUCGCGCAUGGCUGGGUGCACUGACCAAUUAACUCGAAUAAUUAACGCUGCACUGAGCAAUUCCGCAUGGUGGCAGCAAAGGCCCAUGGAAAAAUCCCAAAUGGCCGUGAGGAGGAGCUUUGGGGCUGGGCCAGUGUGCAGGCACUGGGAAACCAGUCCCACACUGGGAACUGCUGACUGGGAGAGAGGGGCUGAGCCUGCUCAAAGUUCAGGUCUAAACCACAAACAUGGCUGUGAGGUGUCUGCUGUAGCAGAGUCUGUUCCCCACAGACAGGUUGGAAGUACUCCAAAGGGAAACAUUUCUAUCUUCCUCAUUUAGAGGAGUUUUUAUUGGGUUUGGACCCACAC